Molecule: ribosomal RNA, 254 nt
Filed under: uncultured bacterium
Lineage: Bacteria
Description: partial 16S ribosomal RNA
Rfam family: Bacterial small subunit ribosomal RNA
Source: RNAcentral
UACGUAGGGUGCAAGCGUUAAUCGGAAUUACUGGGCGUAAAGGGCUCGUAGGCGGCCAACUAAGUCGGAUGUGAAAUCCCCAGGCUUAACCUGGGAACUGCAUCCGAUACUGGAUGGCUUGAAUCCGGGAGAGGGAUGCAGAAUUCCAGGUGUAGCGGUGAAAUGCGUAGAUAUCUGGAGGAAUACCGGUGGCGAAGGCGGCAUCCUGGACCGGCAUUGACGCUGAGUGAGCGAAAGCCAGGGGAGCAAACGGG